RNAcentral lists this transfer RNA (74 nucleotides) under Candidatus Magasanikiibacteriota bacterium. RNAcentral describes it as "Candidatus Magasanikbacteria bacterium tRNA-Cys". It matches the Rfam family "tRNA". Rfam says of the family: Transfer RNA (tRNA) molecules are approximately 80 nucleotides in length. Their secondary structure includes four short double-helical elements and three loops (D, anti-codon, and T loops). Further hydrogen bonds mediate the characteristic L-shaped molecular structure. tRNAs have two regions of fundamental functional importance: the anti-codon, which is responsible for specific mRNA codon recognition, and the 3' end, to which the tRNAs corresponding amino acid is attached (by aminoacyl-tRNA synthetases). tRNAs cope with the degeneracy of the genetic code in two manners: having more than one tRNA (with a specific anti-codon) for a particular amino acid; and 'wobble' base-pairing, i.e. permitting non-standard base-pairing at the 3rd anti-codon position. Lineage: Bacteria; Candidatus Magasanikiibacteriota. The record is from RNAcentral.
GGCCACGUGGUGAAGUAGCUAAACACAGGGGUCUGCAAAACCCCCAUUCGCGGGUGCAACUCCCGCCGUGGCCU